CCUACGGGUGGCACCAGUGAGGAAUAUUGGUCAAUGGACGGAAGUCUGAACCAGCCAUGCCGCGUGAAGGAUGAAGGCGUUCUGCGUUGUAAACUUCUUUUAUCAGGGAAGACACCUACUGUUUCUACGGUAGCCGACGGUACCUGAUGAAUAAGCACCGGCUAACUCCGUGCCAGCAGCCGCGGUAAUACGGAGGGUGCAAGCGUUAUCCGGAUUUACUGGGUUUAAAGGGUGUGUAGGCGGGCUAUUAAGUCAGUGGUGAAAUCUCCGAGCUUAACUCGGAAACUGCCAUUGAUACUAUUAGUCUUGAAUAUUGUUGAGGUUGGCGGAAUAUGUCAUGUAGCGGUGAAAUGCUUAGAUAUGACAUAGAACACCGAUUGCGAAGGCAGCUAGCUAAACAAUUAUUGACGCUGAGGCACGAAAGCGUGGGGAUCAAACAGGAUUAGAUACCCUAGUAGUC
This 460-nucleotide ribosomal RNA is filed under the name uncultured bacterium. RNAcentral describes it as "bacterial SSU rRNA". It matches the Rfam family "Bacterial small subunit ribosomal RNA", at positions 338 to 795 of the family's 1533-position model. The record is from RNAcentral.